GGAUCAUUCAUCCCCAUGUACGACAUUGUACUCCCAAUCUUCUCUAGAUUUAUGAUAGCCUUGAAGCUGUUGAUGUAUCUCACUGGUAGGGGUCCAGAAAAAUAAUUACUUGAGAGGUCAAAAAUUUGGAUUUUAGAGAAAAAAGGGCUAGACUUGGAGCUAUUGACACAUAAGGGACCAUGCAUAUGAUUUGACUUCAAUACAAGAACUUGUAGCUGUGGAAGACUUCCCAACCAAUGAGGAAAUGUAUCAUUGAUCUUGUUGUUACCAAGAUCUAGCACUUCCAGACCCUUACAAUUAAGGAUGGAUGGUGUCAAGGGCCCUUCUAACAGAUUUCCAUUUAAGUUGAAAUUAGUCAAUUGGCAUCCCUCUGCAAAUGUUGGAGGAAUCGUCCCAUAAAACUUGUUCUUCUUCAGAUUCAAGAAUUCAAGGCUGUUGCUCAAAUUUCCAAAACAUUGUGGAAUUGUUCCACUCAAGUUAUUGUGGGACAAAUCAAGAAUUUGAAGAGAACUGGCAUUGCAUAUUAAAGAAGAGACCUCUCCAUUGAAUCUAUUAUUUGAGAUCAGAAAGACAUUGAUUGUCGAAGCUGGAAUCGGAAGAUUUCCACGGAUCAAAUUGGAGCUUAAGUCAAGAAAUUCAAUAUUCUUCCAUGGAAAGUGCUCAACUUCUGUCAAAGAGUUGUGAGAUACGUUUAAGAAAGUCAAAGAGUCAUUCCCCAUCUCUUGCAUCCACUGUGGAAUCUUGCCUUCAAUAUUGUUGCAAGAGAGGUCUAAGCUUUCCAAACUUUUCAGCCCUUUUAAAAACUGGGGAAUUCACUAAGAUUGCAAGAUGACAAAAAUAAGUCUGUAAGAUUAACAGUAGAAGUAGUAUUAAAUGUUAAGGAUAGGCUGUUACAUGAAAGGUGGAGAUAUUUGAGAUUUGGAAGGUUUGAGAACAUGCUAAACUCUAUGACACCACUAAGGUUAUUUGAGGAUAAAGCAAGCGAUGUAAGAUUGAGAAGUUGGAAUAUUGAAGAUGGAAGAGGACCUUGGAGUUUAUUAUUCUCUAACCAUAUCCGUUCUAGUGAUUUGGAUUGGAAUUCUUUGAUAUGCCCACUGAAUUGAUUUUGAGAGAGAUAUAUUGUCUUUAAGGAGGGAGCAGUAUACAACCAUGACGGAAGUGUUCCGUUGAGUAAAUUGUCAGAUAAGCCUAAAUAUAUUAGGUUAGUAAAUUGUCAGAUAAGCCUAAGUAUUCAAGCUGCGUUAGGUUUAGAAUUGAUAAUGGAAUUUGUCCACUCAAUUGGAUCCCCGAUAAGUCUAAUUGAGUGAGCUGCAAGAGGUUCCCCAAUGAUCUUGGAAUUUGUCCACUCAAUUGGUUGCCUCCCAUGUAGAGGAGAUUGAGGUUUGGCAAAUCAAAAAUGUUUUUUGGGAAUUUUCCUUGCAAACCACAACCAGCAAGACUGAGAGACCUUAGAGAAGAGGAUAGAUUCAUGAAGACAUGAGCAUUAACAGAAGACAUGUCCAUUCCAUCCAAAAACAGAUGUCUGACCUCGGUUAGGUUGUGAACAAGUCCCUCCAGAGCAUGUUUGUCCAUUCUAUAUUGCAUAGAGAAAGCAGGCCAAGAGGAGAGAUCGAGUAAAACCAAUUUUGACAGGUGGGAGACUUGGGAUGGGACUUCUCCUACAAACCCUGUAUAAGAAAGGUUGAGGUAGAAUAGGCUUGUAAACUGACCGAAAUCGGAUGGAAUUUUGGAAAGAUUAAAAUCAUUGCCGGCAAGGUUGAGUUUUUGAAGGUGAGGAAGAAGGAAGAGAGUGGUAUUGGAAGGGAAGGUGCCAUAUAGGCAACUGCAGCUCAAGUCAAGGGCAAUAACAUGAGCAUUUAGGUGGUCACAAGUGACCCCAUCCCAUGAGCAGCAAUCUGUACCCUCCUUCCAUGAAUUUGUCUUGGGAUAAGAUUUAGGGCCGCAAGACGAAUAAGCAGCCUCUGUUAUGGAAAAAGAGUUCUUGAACUGGAUUAGUAAAGAGCAGGAGUGAGAUCCUGAAGAAGAAAAAGAAGCAUAAAGAUGGGGAAAGAAGAGGAAUAGGCAGAGAAAGAGACAGGGGGCCAUGUUAUGUUGGUAGAGGAAGAUGAAGGAUAGGAAUGGUAUUUAUAGGCAACAAAUAAUACCACAACAUUGGUGUUAGUCUUUUUUUUCUUUAACAUUGAAAAGUUAUGGAUGCUUUUACCAUAUAUUUUUCAUUCUCAAAAUUGGAUGCUUUUUCUUUUAUUUCAUAAAAACGUGUAUACUUUUAUAUGCUUUUUGUUUUAGCAAAAUUUUGUAUUUCAUAAAAAUGUGUAUACUUAUAUAUAUAUAUAUAGCCUCAUAAUUCAAAUCUAAAAUCUCAUUUGUUAUAAAUUUUGAUAAAUCAAAGGGUGAUAAAUUAGGCCCGUUUAAAAUAUGAGCUGGGUUUAGGCUUGAACAUUCAAAGCUCGAGCCCAGCCCGGCCCAUUUUUAAGUGUAUAAUACUUUAUAUUUUAUAAUUUAGAACAGAUUAAAAAAAUAAACUUAUAUUAAAUAUAUAAUAAUACUAUAAUGUAAACAUUAAAAUAAUGUUAAGAUGACUAUAUAAAAAUUUUCAAUAAAUAAAAAAUAUUUAAAUUAUUAAAUAUUAAAAUAAUAUAAUAUAAAUAUUUAAAAAAAAACUAAAAAUUAUAUGGGCAUGCCUAAAAUGAGCUUGGGUUAGUCUUUUGCAAAUAUGGAUGAGUUUAGGCAAAAUUUUAAGCUCAUAUUUUGGGCCGAGCCGAGCUUGAGCAAGCAUAAAGUACGUUAAUAUCAUGCUUAGGCCUGACCUGGCCAGGCUCAUGAGCACCUCUAUAGUUGAGUGACUAGAAUAGAACUAAAGGAAUAGUUUAGUGAUUAUUUUUGUAAUUGACCCAUAUGAAAUUUAGGUUAAUUUCUGCUAUUAGUCCUUAUACUUUGCAAAAGUUGUGGACUUAAUCUUUAUACUUUAAUUUGGUCAUUUUUAGUUCAUCUACUUUUCAAAUUUUAAAAUUUUAGUCAUCACCAAACAAUAACCGUUAAAUUUAUUAAGUUUUGUUAUUUUCAAAAAAUGAUGCGACAAAUAUAUUAGGCUUAACUCAUAAAUCGGUAUCUAAAUUAUACUCAUUUUCCCAUGUUGGUACCUAAACUUAUUUUUGGUCACAAGUGGUACAUAAACUACUUUUUUUCCCAAGUUACUACUGCCAUUAGUCAAAAGUCUAUUUUAGAAAUAGGCUUAACCCAUAAAUUGGUACCUAGACUAAAAUUUGGUACCUCCGUCAUUAGUCAAACCGUUCAGUUUAUAUGAAAAAAAAAUUAACCAAUUAAAAAUUGACAUGUAGUAAAAAAAACUAUUAUUAUUUAUAUAAAUAUAAAUGGAGAGAACUAGUUCAACCGAUUUGUUUUUGUUCGCAAGUCAAUCGAUUCAAACCCUAUUUCCGGACCGAUUUCCUAUCCAACUAGUUGAAUCAAUCUGUUUUUGAAAACACUAGUUUCCCUCAGGUCAGAGAAGUAGGUGGUGAAAUUCAAAACCAAAAUUAAUCACCAACGUUUCGACCUCAAGUGGGCCAAUUUCAAACAUUAUCGGCAUUGUCAAACAUUAUAAAGGAAUAAGAAAGAAAAAUAUAAAAAAUUAAUUAAUUAAUAAUUAUUUUUAAAAGUUUAUAUGACAUACAAUCUAUUAUUUGUUGAAAUCUUUUUAGCCGAUAUAACAUUUUGGUGUAAAAUGAGUAAUGGAAGAAUAGUUUUAGUAAUACUUAUGGCCAAAAUAAAAAUUAGGUACCUUGGGAAAAGGAGCAUUGUUUAGGUAUUAAUUAUUAUUAAUAUUAUUUGAAUCAAGACUAAAAUUUCAAAUUUCAAAAAGUAAAUGGUUUAAAAUUGACCAAUUCAAAAAAUACAAUGACUAAAAUUGAUCAAAUUAAGGUAUAAGGACUAAAUCCAUCAUUUUCGUAAAGUACAGAGACUAAUAGCAGAAUUUAACCUAAAUUUUAAUAUAAAUAAAAUCCAAAGUAGAAUAUAUUUUUUGAUAACUACAAUACAUUUAUGAGCAAGGAAAAAAGGAAGACUUACAAAGAUAAACACAGUAAGAAUGAAAAGAAUAUGGGGAUAAUUUACACAAAUUCCUUCAAAAACCAUAGCUUUUGGAGGUGAAAUUUAAUCAAAGGAAGAAUGAAAGCUCAGGUUUGGGAGUAAAUGAUAACAUACUUUCACCAAAAAGUUCAAAUAAUGAUGCUAACAAGUUCCCCGGGUCUGUGUCUUCCUUCCAAGCCUGAGCUAGAACGGUUGAUGUCUUUGAAACUCGACCCCCAACCUCCCUUCCUAGCAUGUUUUCGUUUGAUAACGGCCGUGACAUUGAUGAUACACCGAUAUUGGAACCUCCUACGGUGGUAGAAAAGCCGCUAACUGCCCCUUGUAAAUCAGUUUGAAUGGAAUUUAUUGGCAUCAUACCUAUUGCACUCUCAGUUGCUAUUUUCUUCGCAGGUGGUUGCUGCUGCAUCAAGGUGUCCGUGCUUGCUUUUCGUUUAUCUUGAUUGAUCAGAAAAAGGAAUAUCGUAAAGGGGGAGAAGAGACUUGUGGAUUAAGUGUAAAUAUGAUGGUUCGAAGAAAUCAUACUUGUCGCAACUUUGUUGUUGCUUUUCCAGAUGGGACGAGUUGGGGGUGCUAGAAAACUGGGGAACAUUUUAAGCCGAUCAUACAUGCACAGUCCAGCUGCACGCUGUUAGUGGAAAUUUUAUGCAGUGUUGUUAGUUCUACAGCAAAUAAAUGAAACGAUGCUCAUAAACUGGUACCAAAUUUGAUGUUAAACUUACCAGCAGGGCCCCAUAAACACACCAGGCCUCGUGUCUUUUUAUUUCAGGUUCAAGAAGCUGCAAAUACGCUUCAAAGCAAACAUGAGAGGGAAAUUAUUCAAAUUCCGUGCAACCUGAGAUAAAUGUGGCAAAAAUGUAAGCUUGAGAUAACCAACCAAAAGUUCUUUGCAACACACAUAUAUAAUGAGGUAUCAAAGAUCUUUAAGACAACCUCAUCCGCAAUGAAAUAUGUAAAAUAAGGAACUAAAGGAUGUAAUCCCGAGUCUGUUGCCAAACUCAGUAAUGCUUGUUUAAAGAGAACUGAGACUGAUUUAUUCAUGGUAAUGUCCACGAUCUUGUCAAAGUAAAGCUGCAUGACAACCAAAUUAGUCUUUUAAUAACAUUCUGUGCAAAAUGUAUUUUAACAUAAAAAUGUUGCUGAAGAUGUACAACAUACUUGAAGCUCUCUAGAUAAUACAUGCUUAACAGGUAAUUUGACAUCAACGGAAAGCCCAUCUUCUUUGUAUUCAGCCUUUUUACCAUCAGAAGGUGCUGCAUGGAAAGCAAACUACCAAUUCCAUGUAGAAAUGAAGAUAAGUCGUAUUAGAUUAAAGUGAUAAAACCAGAAAAGAACAUGAACCAUGAGAGUAUUCAACACAAAUAGCUUCGAGAAAAUAUUUAGGUUAGCUAAGACGGUACCUUCAAUUGAAGCAUUUUCGGGAAUUGCUGGUUGAAUGCCUUCAAUCGCAAGCCAGUGGGAUGUAACAGAUGUAUCAAGUGGUGCUUUUGGUAAAGGUGACUCAAGAACCUACAUACAUAAGGCAACAUAGGAAUUUAAGUGAAGACUUAUUUAAUAAGGCAACAUACAACAGAACCUCGAAUAUUGUUGAUCAGUUCUUACUUCUUUAAACUCCACAUCUUUGUCAUCAAUGUAGAACAAAUCAUUAUGCUUCUUGAAUCGUAGUGCAUCACGAGAGGCAAAUCCACAUAUCGGCUGAUGCCAGAGAAACACAUAACACAAGCCAAUUAACCAAAAUGCAAAAUCUAAAGCAGCAGGUUAAACUUACUACGAUUGGAUUGCAUCAUUUUAACCAGCGUUUUUGGAUUGCAUCAUUUCGAGUUUUGUCGUUCGGGUUUGACAAUUAAUUCAAAUCAUUUUAAGAUCAUGUCAUUUUGGAUUCAAAUUAUCACUUCUUUAUAAUCAAAUCGAGUUGCGUUAAGUUUAAAUUCAAAUUAAUUCAGUUUUACUACUUACUAAAACUUAUGUUUCUCAAAAUAAUUUUUUCAAAUUAAAAUUUAUUAAUUAUUUAAAUUAAGAUGUUAUUUUUUUAUUCUUUAUAUAUGUUUUACAAUUCGUGUUCAAGAUCGGUGGAUACCGCACACAACAUUAUUAUCUCCAACGUCUGAAUACGCAUUAUCUCCUUGAGAAUGUAAUAUGAUUUGCCACUACGCCAAACACUUGUUGGUAUCUAAAAUGGAUAAAAACACAUUUCUCGUCCCUCUCAAUUUCUAUAUUGAACAAAUUGAUUCCUCUCAGAAAAUUAGAGCAAUUUAAUCAUUAUCAAUUUUGAAUGGGAGCAACUAAGAACAAUUAAUCAUUGUGUUAAUACUUUCUGUAAAUUGUAUAUAUUUUUUAUUGAUAUAAUAACAAAAUAAGCUCUCGAUGUUUAUAUAUUAUAUGUAAAUGUUAAUAGAAUAUGUAAUUGUUGCGGGAUAAAUUUGUUAAAUCAAGAUCAAAUUAACAGAAUAUGUAAACAAGUUUAUAAACUUGUUAUUAUACCAAUAAAAAUAUGUACAAUUGAUGGAAAAUAUUGACAUUGUGAUUAAUUGUUCUUAGUUGCUCACUUUCGAAAUUAACAAAGAUUAAAUUGCUUUAAUUUUUUUUAAAAUGGACCAAUUUACUUAAUAUCAAAAUUGAGAGGGACUAAAGAGGGUUUUUACCAUCUAAAAUGUUAUCUAAUACAAGAAAAACUUAACAACUAUUUUUUAAUUAUGAAAAGGUAAACUACAUAAUUAGCCACUGAACUAUGGGUAAAUCUUCGUUUUGGUCACUUAACGAAAAAAGUUACAAUUUGGUCACCCUAUUGUUAAAUGACACUUUGUAGUUGCUAUAAUAACAAUUCUAGUAUUUUGUUUUUAUAAUUUUUUUUGCCAAUUUAAAAAAUAUAAACUUCUGUAUAAAAAUUAUAAAAAAAACUCAAAAUUAUUUUUAAAAAAUAUAAACUUCUAUAUAAAAAUUCUAGAAAAAUAAAAUCUCGAAUAUGUUGUUGUUGAAGAACUAAUAUGUAUGGGAAAUAAAAAAAAUUAUCAUUCAAUAGAAUCCCAUAACAAAUUAAAAACAGAACAAAACAAAAAAAAGGUUAGAUCAUUAUACGCUUCCUCAAUGUUUUUUGCAACCAAAUUAGUAAAAUUUUCAAGUUGAGUUUCAUGCCCUUGAAGAACAUCCGUAACUAUAUUACAAAAGCUUACAAAAUCAACUUUGAUGCCAUUUUUCUAGCAAAAAUAUAAAAUAUACCACAAAAUUUUCUUUUUCAAACUCAAUUCGAAUUUUCAAUUCAUUUAAAUUUAUUUUUAAAAACCCAAAUUAUAAAAGCAGAUUAUAUACAGAUAAUUUUACUUAAUCUUUUUUUUUUUUACUUUUUUCUAUGUUUUCUAAAAGAAUGGAUAUUAGAUAUUUCUUUACAAAUAAUACAAAGAAAAUUUGGAGGGUUUAAAAAUAAUAUUUCCCUCAUUUUCUCUCACUUUAUUUAUAUUUGAAAUUUUUAUCUACUUUCAUUUAAUUUUUAAUUUUUAGAAUUUUGUAAAAUUUAAAAAGAAUUUCACUUUUGUAAUCAUUUUAUAUAAUUAGAGUUAAAUUGACAGAAAGUAUAAAAAUUGAGGAUAAAAAUUAUUAUUAUACCAACUAAAAAGUGUCACUUAAUAGUCAGGUGACCAAAAAAGUUGUAAACUAUAAAAAUAGUCACCCAACUAUUAAAAUUUCCAAUUUAGUUGCUAAACUUUUUGAAAUUAAAUAUUUUAAUCACUUUCCCUUUAGUUGUCGUUAGAUGAGUGACGGAAAGCUGAUGUGGGUUUUUUUUAAUUGAUUUAAUAACAAAUUUAACCUCUAAUAUUUACCAAUGCAACUUUUCACCAUAGGAAAAACUUUCUAACAGACUACUAAACAAGAAAUUAUGAAGACACAGCAGAAAUGCUUUAACUUCAUUUGAACCAACUAGAUCCUUCUUCAUCCAUUGAUGCGAUUGCUAUAUUUCGGCUUUCUUCUUCGCCUCUUCUCAUGUUGGUCUUCAGCCAAAUUCACGAACCUUUUCGCCUUACCGGUUUGGAAAACAACACAUCCCAUGGCCAUUCCACAUGUUGGAAAAGGAUUACCCCUACCGUUAUAUUUUGUCUUCUCUCAUCAAUGAUAUUGCGAUACCCAAAGUUUGGUAUCGCGAUAUCUACAACAGUCUUGGGGAUCCUUGGGAGUUUUGGGUAUCGCGAUAUCUUAUGACCGGUAUCACGACAACACUGUUGAUGGCUCAAUCUUCCUUGUUUUUAACAUUGUUAUGGGUAUUACGACUUUCAUGCUUUGAUCUGCGAUACCCUCUUUCUAGGUAACAUUUUCGCUCCUUCCAGGCCACCAUGGGCUCUCUGCAUCACUCAUCAACCUCAUUAGAUUCCCGGAGUGCCAUUUGGCCAUCUUAGGUCUUAAAAUAGCAUCAAAAUGCACACUAAUCAUUUAUUAAUAUAAAGAACUAAAACAAAAUAAAAACGCAACAAAGAUAUCUAAAUUGCUCGAAAAUAAACUUUUAAGUGUGAUGGAGAGCCUAAUUUGACAUAUCAAUUUAUAGCAAAUCAUAAACAUUAUUUGCGGAACUUGUUAAAAUUUCAGAUUUCUUUAUUAGUUUUCUUUCAAUAUUUUGUACGGUUCAUUUGUAGUAAUAUAUUGUGCAGAUCAUAGGCUAAAUUGCUUUAUUAGUUUUCUAUUGUUGAUCUUUAUUAUUAUUAUUAUUAUUAUUAACACUACUUCCUUUUUACCAUAUAAUUUUUAUUCAUAAAAAUGAAGAGUUGAUUUACCCAAAAUUUGUAUUUCAUUUGAACUCCCUAAAGAAUGAAGAACUGAAAUAAUUAGAAAUUAUUUUGACUUGCUCUUGCUUCCUUUCUAUGUAUGAAUGUGGAAAUUGGCAUAAUGCCAACUUAUUUUCCACGCAGAAGAAGAAAAUGGUGCUCUAUUCACUCCCUUUAACUCAGCAACUUUGUAAUCAUUCUAUAUAAUCAGAGUCAAAUUGACAAAAAUUAGUAUAAAAAUUGAGGAAUCAAAUUAUUAUUAUGCCAACUAAAAAGUGUCACUUAAUAGUCAGGUCACCAAAAAUGUUGUAAACUAUAAAAAUAGUCACCCAACUAUUAAAUUUUCCAAUUUAGUUGCUAAACUUUUUGAAAUUAAAUAUUUUAAUCACUCUCCCUUUAGUUGUCGUUAGAUGAGUGACGGAAAGCUGAUGUGGGUUUUUUUAUUGAUCUAAUAACAAAUUUAACCUCUAAUAUUUACACAUAGGAAAAAAAUUGAAAGACUUCAAAACAAGAAAUUAUGAAGAUACAACAUCAGCACUUGAACAUCAUUUCCACUAACUAGAUCCUUCUUCGUCCAUUGCUGCGACUGCCAUCCUUUGACUUUCUUCUUCGCUUCUUCUCAUGUUGGAUUUCAACCAAAUUCACCAACCAUUUCGGCUUACCAGUUUGGAAAACAACAUAUCCCACGGACAUUCCCAACACCACUCCGCAUCCAUAACCUAUCAACACCACUUUCCAACCAAAAGUAAUGUUUGAUUUUGAGCCAUCUUUUUCAAGCACAUUUGGAGGUGCUGGCUCAAUGAUGUUGCAACCUUUCGAGACCGGAAAUCCACAUAAUCCCCUGUUCCCUUCAUAUGAAUCAUUUCCAAAUGUGUUGAACUGUUUGCCUUGAGGAAUCUGACCAUGGAGUUGAUUUUCAGAAACAUUGAAGGACGAAAGAAAUGGCAGAUCUGCCAAUCUAAUUGGAAUCGUCCCAGACAACCUGUUUGAAGAUAGGUCCAACCAUUCAAGAUUUGUCAAAUUCCCUAUUGAGGUGGGGAUACCACCAUUAAGGUUAUUAUGAGAAAGGUUGAGCCCUUUCAGUAAGUUAAGCUUCCCAAUAACCUUUGGAAUACCCCCUUCAAACUGAUUGUUUGAUAGAUCAAUGAUCAUCCACAUGGUGAAAAUUUUCACCAAUUCCAUAUCUUGUCCUUUCAUAACAAUUCCAAUGGAAUAGGUAUAGAAGCCACUACCUCGAGGAUCAUUCACCCCCAUGUACGACACUGUACUACCAAUCUUCUCUAGAUUUAUGAUAGCCUUGAAGCUGUUGAUGUAUCUCACAGGUAGGGGUCCAGAAAAAUAAUUACUCGAGAGAUCAAAAAUUUGGAUUUUAGAGAAAAAAAGGCUAGACUUGGAGCUAUUGACACAUAAGGAACCAUGCAUAUGAUUUGACUUCAAUACAAGAACUUGCAAAAAUGGAAGACUUCCCAACCAAUGAGGAAAUGUAUCAUUGAUCUUGUUG
This 10332-nucleotide long non-coding RNA is filed under the name Gossypium barbadense (sea-island cotton). Its description in RNAcentral is "long non-coding RNA (GBAR_LNC016766)". The record is from RNAcentral. Lineage: Eukaryota; Viridiplantae; Streptophyta; Magnoliopsida; Malvales; Malvaceae.